UCCCUCCUGCAUCCAAUAGGACACGAGUCAUUCCGCGUCCCGGACCCUGGGCGCGGGGCUCGUUCCGUAUCCUCGCUCCUUCACAGCCGCGCUUGGGCUCCGCGCGCUCCCGCCGAGCUCCUCCCCUCGGGGCGGGGCGCAGCGUGGCCCGUCCCGGCCCAGCGGCGGCGGCGGCGAUGUGGAGUCGGGGCGCGCGGCUUCGCUGCUAGAGGGAGGUUGGGGGGCGCCCGCCGGCACCCGGGAGACCCGGCCGGAGGUUCCGUACAUUCUUGGCUUCCUGAUUUGGAAAAUGUGUACCUGGCAUCCUUGUUAAGUCAAGACAGUCAUACAGCAGGAAUUCUCUUUCCUAGUGAGUUACAUGUGGGAUACCAGGCCUCCCUUUGUCAUGUGCUCUGAUCCUGCCUAUCACCAACUCACAGCAGCUGCUGAAACGCAGUGGUCCACCUCCAGUGAGCCCCUGGUCACAGAAUGGCUGAGGUUGGGCAGGUCCAAUGGAGGCCAUCUCGUCCAAAAUGACUGCCUUCAAAUCCUGAUAGGAAUGUCUUCAAGCCCUUCAAGCUUUCACACUGCCCUGAGAUAAAGGGAAAUGGUUGUCUUUCUUCUGAUGCUUCUUCUGAAGGCUUCAUGUAGAAAGAUCUUGAUGUAGGCAAGGCAGCUCGACUGUGACUUAUCGGGUCAUCUUCUGUUCAGCUGUGUGGUGCUGAGGGAUGAUCUCUGUAUCAUUUCAAAGCAUCUAUUUUGUAUGGCAGUCCUCAGAGCAUCCCAGAGAGCUGGGUGCUUACUUUCCAAGCACACACUGCUCUUGUGAAUUGCAAGUCAUGUUGCACUGUUAUUUUUAGGGUAUGUACCUUAAUUUAGUAGUCCUGCUUAACUCUUCUAGCUUUUCAAAGAUGGACAAAACACAGCUCGUUAGCCUGGAUUUUAAGCUUAAUCAUAGGUAAAAUUCUGAAGGAGCUGCUUUGAAACUGUUGAACAAAUGAGCAAUUUCCUUGUGUCCAGGGCGAAUCUUUCAUAGUCAAGGGAUCUGAAGUUGCAGGCUGUGAACUUAUGUAGUUACAGAUGCUGAGCUGUUAAGAUUCUGUUUUCUUAUAUAGAUAAUAACUGCCAUAAUAAUACAGCUCCCAAACCUAAAUUAAACUGCUCACUUCAAGUAUUGAACUAAGUUGAUCAAGUGUGGAGGAAAUAAAUAAGAUACAAUUUUACUUGAAAUUAUGAAUAUGUAAGGUCCAAGAAAUCAAACAUGAACCUAGUUUGUUAUCUAAAAUAAUUAAUUAGCUGAUUCUUGCAGUAUACGUAAGCUUCUGUUAACAAAUUUAACAUGGGUGAACAUGUAGGACCUAUAACAAAUAUAAAUAUGUCCGCAAUGAUAAGACAUUUCAGUUCCAAACAAAAGAAAAUCCAAGUGCAUCUGCAGGCUUCUUACGCAUCAUCAUGUCUAGAUAUUAAUAGAAUUCAGAGGAAAGAAGGCAAACUCAAUUUGCUAAGAUCCAGAGAAUAGAUGUAUUCAACUUCCUAUUAAGUAAUUGCAUGAGGCAUUUUUCAUUUUAAUGCUCGCUCUGAAUUUCUCUCUUGUUUUUCCUCCUUUUCCAUUAGAUAUUUACUGUCUUAAAUGUUUCUCAGUGCCUUCAUCAGUGUUGCAUUUAUUUCUAGCUCAAUUAAGAAGUGAUUGUAAUAGUAACUUGUAAUGACUUGCUUAAGGCAGUGCUGAAUUUGAAGGACUUUAUUAUGUGACAGAGCUACGGUUUAAUGCGUGCAUUUAUUAAUAUUUAUUUCCUAAAAGGGAAAAACAUUUUCAUGCCUGCAUAAACAUCUUACAAACAGGAUCACAUGGUAACUCUAUGACUUUGAGUUAGUUAAAAAGAUAGUAUGCUGGUCAAAACUUCAUGCCUAAAGAUAACAUUGUUAUAACAUGAAUGAAAGGAGCCCUAGAAUGACUGUGUGUCAUAAUAAAUCAUGUUGGUUGAUGUGUCCUUAA
This is a non-coding RNA of Coturnix japonica (Japanese quail), 1975 nucleotides long. The record is from RefSeq and is a predicted model, not a curated record. NCBI's taxonomy places the organism in Eukaryota, Metazoa, Chordata, Aves, Galliformes, Phasianidae.